UUGUUUAUUUAAAAUAUAAACUCAGACAAUUGAUAAAAUAUAGAGUUAAUGGUUCCUUUGGCGAAGAACACACCCGCUUCAUAACAAAGCCGAUGGCCUUUUUCAGAAGAAAAAGAACGCUUCACCAAAGUAAUAAAAUUUGGUAACACAAAGGGUGGGAGAUUCCAUACAAGUAUGGAAAAAUCUCGGUAAUGAUCCUUCCGCAGGUUCACCUACGGAAA
Molecule: unclassified non-coding RNA, 221 nt
Filed under: uncultured fungus
Lineage: Eukaryota; Fungi
Description: sequence contains ITS1
Source: RNAcentral